AGUGGCGGACGGGUGAGUAACGCGUGAGAAUCUGCCUUGGGGUCGGGGACAACCACUGGAAACGGUGGCUAAUACCGGAUAAGCCGAUUGGUGAAAGAUUUAUUGCCCGAAGAGGAGCUCGCGUCUGAUUAGCUAGUUGGUGAGGUAAGAGCUCACCAAGGCAGCGAUCACUAGCUGGUCUGAGAGGACGAUCAGCCACACUGGGACUGAGACACGGCCCAGACUCCUACGGGAGGCAGCAGUGGGGAAUUUUCCGCAAUGGGCGAAAGCCUGACGGAGCAAGACCGCGUGAGGGAGGAAGGCUCUUGGGUUGUAAACCUCUUUUCUCAGGGAAGAAGCUCUGACGGUACCUGAGGAAUCAGCCUCGGCUAACUCCGUGCCAGCAGCCGCGGUAAUACGGAGGAGGCAAGCGUUAUCCGGAAUUAUUGGGCGUAAAGCGUCCGCAGGUGGCGAUUCAAGUCUGCUGUCAAAGCACGGGGCUUAACUCCGUAAAGGCAGUGGAAACUGAAUAGCUAGAGUGCCGUAGGGGUAGAGGGAAUUCCCGGUGUAGCGGUGAAAUGCGUAGAGAUCGGGAAGAACAUCGGUGGCGAAAGCGCUCUACUGGACGGCAACUGACACUCAGGGACGAAAGCUAGGGGAGCGAAUGGGAUUAGAUACCCC
Molecule: ribosomal RNA, 660 nt
Filed under: uncultured bacterium
Lineage: Bacteria
Description: bacterial SSU rRNA
Rfam family: Bacterial small subunit ribosomal RNA
Source: RNAcentral